This is a small nucleolar RNA of Cervus hanglu yarkandensis (Yarkand deer), 92 nucleotides long. Its record names the gene SNORD116. It matches the Rfam family "Small nucleolar RNA SNORD116". From Rfam's summary of the family: HBII-85 is a member of the C/D class of snoRNAs, which contain the C (UGAUGA) and D (CUGA) box motifs. The record is from Ensembl. Lineage: Eukaryota; Metazoa; Chordata; Mammalia; Artiodactyla; Cervidae.
GGAUUGAUGAUGGCACACUCACAUGCAUUCCCUGGACAAUCUGAACAAAAUGAGUGAGAAAUUGAUACCAUCUCCUCAUUGAAAUGAGGUCU